GACGAACGCUGGCGGCGUGCUUAACACAUGCAAGUCGAACGAGAAUCUGUGGAAAGAGGAUUCGUCCAAUUGAAGCAGAGGACAGUGGCGGACGGGUGAGUAACGCGUGAGGAACCUGCCUUUCAGAGGGGGACAACAGUUGGAAACGACUGCUAAUACCGCAUAACAUAUAGAUGUCGCAUGGCAUUUAUAUCAAAGAUUUAUCGCUGAAAGAUGGCCUCGCGUCUGAUUAGCUAGUUGGUGAGGUAACGGCCCACCAAGGCGACGAUCAGUAGCCGGACUGAGAGGUUGAACGGCCACAUUGGGACUGAGAUACGGCCCAGACUCCUACGGGAGGCAGCAGUGGGGAAUAUUGGUCAAUGGACGAGAGUCUGAACCAGCCAAGUAGCGUGCAGGAAGACGGCCCGUAUGGGUUGUAAACUGCUUUGUCAGGACGAAAGGACCGUGUUAAUACCAUGGUCUGCUGACGGUACCUGAAGAAUAAG
This 485-nucleotide ribosomal RNA is filed under the name uncultured bacterium. RNAcentral's name for it is "bacterial SSU rRNA". It matches the Rfam family "Bacterial small subunit ribosomal RNA", at positions 28 to 490 of the family's 1533-position model. The record is from RNAcentral.